GUGGUAGGGAGAAGGAGCUGGUGGGAUUGCACCAUGGCCUGGGCCCCUCUGCUCCUCGCGCUGCUCGCCCAUGGCUCAGGUUCCCUGGUCCAGGCAGCGCUGACUCAGCCCCCAUCGCUCUCAGUGGAGCCAGGAAAGAACGCCCAGAUCACCUGCUCCGGGAGCAGCUAUGCCUAUGGCUGGUACCAGCAGAAGGUGCCUGGCGGUGCCAUUGUCACUGUGAUCUACGGUGACACCAAGAGACCCUCGGACAUCCCUUCGCGAUUCUCUGGAUCUCAGUCUGGCUCCACGGGCACGUUAACCAUCACUGGGGUCCAACCCGAGGACGAGGCCGUCUAUUACUGUGGGAGCUAUGACAGCAGCACUGGUGCUGUUGCUGUGAAGCAGAGAGAUGUGAAAGUGAGCUACAGAAGAGGGUCUCUAUGCUUCUCCCUCCCUGGGGAGCUGGGCUGUUGUUCUGCACAGCUUCAUGUCCCCUCUGCAUGGCCAUGUCUGUGAAUGUCCUUCUGGUUA
Neopsephotus bourkii (Bourke's parrot) is the source of this 513-nucleotide non-coding RNA. Lineage: Eukaryota; Metazoa; Chordata; Aves; Psittaciformes; Psittacidae. The record is from the annotation of a RefSeq genome assembly.